This 221-nucleotide long non-coding RNA is filed under the name Lathyrus oleraceus (garden pea). RNAcentral's name for it is "Pisum sativum (pea) long non-coding RNA (PSAT_LNC028197)". The record is from RNAcentral. Lineage: Eukaryota; Viridiplantae; Streptophyta; Magnoliopsida; Fabales; Fabaceae.
UUUUGAUCCCUAACUUUUGCAUGGACCGCUUUGUUUGAAGCUUUAAUCCAUCGGGACUGCCCCUGUUUUUGCCUAAGUCUCCUUUUAGGGUGUUGGACUUAGCGGGCUCUUUUUUGAUUUGAUUUUUUUUUUUUUUUGUGACUGCCAAGUCAUUGGUCAUUGAAGAACAACCGACAUAAAAUUUGGAUUUGUAUGGUUCCUUCGACACUUCAGGACGUGUG